RNAcentral lists this ribosomal RNA (441 nucleotides) under uncultured Acinetobacter sp. RNAcentral's name for it is "bacterial SSU rRNA". It matches the Rfam family "Bacterial small subunit ribosomal RNA", at positions 358 to 790 of the family's 1533-position model. Lineage: Bacteria; Pseudomonadati; Pseudomonadota; Gammaproteobacteria; Moraxellales; Moraxellaceae. The record is from RNAcentral.
GGAAUAUUGGACAAUGGGGGGAACCCUGAUCCAGCCAUGCCGCGUGUGUGAAGAAGGCCUUUUGGUUGUAAAGCACUUUAAGCGAGGAGGAGGCUCCUAUAGAUAAUACCUAUAGAGAGUGGACGUUACUCGCAGAAUAAGCACCGGCUAACUCUGUGCCAGCAGCCGCGGUAAUACAGAGGGUGCAAGCGUUAAUCGGAUUUACUGGGCGUAAAGCGUACGUAGGUGGUCUUUUAAGUCGGAUGUGAAAUCCCUGAGCUUAACUUAGGAAUUGCAUUCGAUACUGGGAGACUAGAGUAUGGGAGAGGAUGGUAGAAUUCCAGGUGUAGCGGUGAAAUGCGUAGAGAUCUGGAGGAAUACCGAUGGCGAAGGCAGCCAUCUGGCCUAAUACUGACACUGAGGCACGAAAGCAUGGGGAGCAAACAGGAUUAGAUACCCUGG